AGACCACACGCAGAAUCGCACAUUGAAGCAACACAAAUCUACGAUGAGGCUGUUUGUUAAACAGACCUCAACCGAAACAUAAUUGCAAUGCUUUAGGGAAAGUCCCCGGACCUCAUGGUAGAAAGUAUCACCAAUAAUGACUGGUCUGUCUGAGUCGCGAGAGAUUUGAUCGUUUUGAUCGGGCUGAGAUCGCUUUCUCUGAUUGCGAGAUGCUCCUCAACGAUCUGAUUUCGUGGUUCAGUGAUUGUCAUCAUGUUACAGUUAUGCGAUUGUGGUUGUCCUUCAUAAGAUGAUCAUAACUCAACGGGGCUCACUCGCGACGUGGUC
This 327-nucleotide RNase MRP RNA is filed under the name Lobosporangium transversale. RNAcentral's name for it is "RNase MRP". It matches the Rfam family "RNase MRP". From Rfam's summary of the family: RNase MRP is an enzymatically active ribonucleoprotein with two distinct roles in eukaryotes. In mitochondria it plays a direct role in the initiation of mitochondrial DNA replication. The record is from Rfam by way of RNAcentral. Lineage: Eukaryota; Fungi; Mortierellomycota; Mortierellomycetes; Mortierellales; Mortierellaceae.